GAGAAAGAGAAAUGUCAGGUUGAUAGAGAGCGGCCUCCUUCCCACUGCCUGGAGGAUGGAGAGACCAAGAAAGCAAGGCAGAAGGAACAGCACCCCUGGGCAAGGGGAGAGUGCUGGGCUGUGCCAAGUGUCUCAAGGAGCUAUUGGGGCCCUUCACUCACAACCACCCUAAACGCUGCAUGUGGGAUCCUGGGCAGGGUGAUUUACUGCAACAUGACCUGCACGUGUCUUUUGAGAAGCUGACGGGCUAGAUGCUGAGGUCUUGUUUUCCCAUCUGCUGGCAGCUCUGCAGAACCCCUGACUUCUGCGUGAGACACAGGAGCAUGUGGGCCAUUGCCUGGAAAGAGCCCUCCAGAAAGCAAGGCGGCAAGUGCCCUUGUGCUGCCAAGGUGUAAACGGGAUCCUGUUCCUGAAGGCAGCUCGCAGCAGCGCUGUGACCUGGGGGCGAGGGUGAGUCGCUGUGGCCAGCAGCUGUAGUGCUGCCACCUGAGCAACCGACUGCAGCGCCCGGGUGUUGCUGCCUUGCAGCAGUUCCAGCUCAGAGCCUGCAGGACGGGCAUCCUUCCUCUUCGCAGGGCUCUCACGGCCUUGCAUCAGCAGUGCGUGCAUGCCUGGCUUGGAUGUCCUCUGUGUUACGGGUGUUGGGGUUUCUUCCCCACUCUCCUCUGGUGAGCUCGUGCUCUCAGCAAGGGCCUCGGCUAAUGGAAAACAGCCAAGGUCCUUUGGAGCAAGGCUGGUUUACAGCGGCGCGGAACCCGCCCUCCCAAGGUACUCCAUGCAGCACUAUUCCAGCCAUCGUAAUGUCCACGUGCAGGCCUGAUUUACCUUCCUCUCCUCACAUCCACUUAUCAAAGAAACCAGGACGUGAAAGUACCGCGCAUGCUUGUUGGAAAUACCACAGAGUGAAUUCAAGGCUUCUGGAGACAGCUCCUCAAAAGGAAGAUUUGAAAGAGCUUGUGCGCUCCCUUCCAGAUGCUUUUAUCUCUGACUCACAGCAAGAAAAUGCGGUCACCUCAUUUCCUCUGCCUGAUGGACCAGAAGUACUGUGGCAGGUGUAUACUGAAGAAGCAAGCACAGAUUUUUCUUCAGAAUUAUCUUGGGAGUGAGCAGUUACUUGAAAGCAAGGCGAGAGGCUUGUGUUGGAGUAGCCACUCCCAGAAUAGCCGCUUUGCUCUGAUGGAUUUAUAAUAGCCACUUUAACCAGUGCCAGGAAAACACUGAACUUCAAAUGAGUCAUUUUUCCACAGCUGUGAAUAAGUUAGGAUGAACUUCAGAUAGGCACACUUUUUUUUUUUUUUUUUGAGAUACCACAACCACAGCAAAGCCUUGAGCCCCUUCACUUUCAUCCACAAGAAGUGGCCAUGCACAUCUUUCUUGGACUGGUAUACCUGAAGCUUUCUUAUUCUGCACAGGAGAAGCUACAAGAUAUUUUCUGGGAGAGUACUGGCUUUUGGUUACCUGUCUCUGCAUGACUCCACGCCCAGAUUCAAUGCUGGUGCAAAGAAAAGCAGUGCCACAGACAUAGGGCUGUGGCAUUGGGCAGCUGCAGGCAGAAGUAACCUGGAGUGUUACACACACUACUGAGGCUAAGGAACAAGCUUGCUGCAGUCACCAAAGCCUUCUUGCUCUCCUUCUUUCUACAUAAAAUGUCUGUAUACAUACACCUGGGCUUUCUGCGGCCCCAUUUCUUCCCGUCCAUGCCAUAAUGCCUUUCCCCACAUGCUUCCUUCAAUUAUGGUUCUCUUCCCCAUACCAAAGUCUUCCAAGGGUACACUCCACCUCUGCCCUUCUGUCUUUUGACCUUAAUUUUUUUUCACUUUUCUCAUUUUUCUUUUCUUUCUCCUUCAAAGUGACAGAAUUUCAGACAACAUUUGAGAAGACGGGCACUGCCUGGAAUGUGUUAAAAGCCACCAUCACCCAAUAGCUAUGGCGCUAUUGCUAUUCUGUCUCUAUUAUAUCCAUUGUGCUUUCCUGGUUUUCACCAAAAUCAGUGACUGAGUAUAGAACACGUCCUGAAAUUUUUACACUUUUCUCGUUUAGCUCUUGGGCUCAGGGACUCUCGUCUGGAUGGCACUCCCAGGCUUCCUGGGAUCUGCUGGUCACUAGGGUAUGCAUAGCAUGGACUUGCAGCUCUCAGUGCUGGAAGAGAAGGACAAAGACAUAACCACCACCUCCCUUUUUCUGCCCCAGUUGCCCAUACGUCAAGGCCUAUCUCUUUCUGAUCUGUACAUUCCUGGGAGUAUACUUAGCUGAAAAAUUAUACCUUUGCGUUAUGUGCUGCCCUUUUGAGUAUGGGAGACUCCUCUUCACUGACAGACAGCACCCAUUUUCCUCUUACAGCUGCUGCAGCCUGGCAGAGCUGAGGGGCACAUGCUGUGUUCUCGCACUGUGGCCCAACUUUGGCCUGUCCCGGGCUUUGCCUUUACCUGAAAGAGAAGGGCGUGCUUUGUUCUGCUAGCACAGAAGCGAGAGUCCUGGCAGUGAGAACAGACGGAGGCAUCACGCAAUCACAGCAACUGUAAAUAUGCCACGCUUCUUUUUAUUGUUAUGUCAUAAUCACAACGUUCCUUUAAUGUAGUUUGUUUGACUUCUGUGCUAAAAAUAAGUGGAUCUUGCUGUUUCCAGGACAACCACUAACCCGAUGGCUUAUCUCGGCGCCGCUCCUCUGUCAAAAGGAUGUUCUAAAAAGAGCUAACCAUGAAUAUUAAAAAUGAAGCAUGCACACAAUAAAGCAUUCCAUGGGAAGAGCCCCA
This 2753-nucleotide long non-coding RNA is filed under the name Struthio camelus australis. RNAcentral describes it as "lncRNA (ENSSCUG00000000378.1)". The record is from RNAcentral. Lineage: Eukaryota; Metazoa; Chordata; Aves; Struthioniformes; Struthionidae.